This 74-nucleotide transfer RNA is filed under the name Corynebacterium xerosis. Its description in RNAcentral is "tRNA-Leu". It matches the Rfam family "tRNA". From Rfam's summary of the family: Transfer RNA (tRNA) molecules are approximately 80 nucleotides in length. Their secondary structure includes four short double-helical elements and three loops (D, anti-codon, and T loops). The record is from RNAcentral. Lineage: Bacteria; Bacillati; Actinomycetota; Actinomycetes; Mycobacteriales; Corynebacteriaceae.
GCCCCCGUGGCCCAAUUGGCAGAGGCAGCGGACUUAAAAUCCGCGUGGUGUCGGUUCGAAUCCGACCGGGGGCA